GAUGAAGAACGUAGCGAAAUGCGAUAAGUAAUGUGAAUUGCAGAAUUCAGUGAAUCAUCGAAUCUUUGAACGCACAUUGCGCCCGUCAGUAUUCUGGCGGGCAUGCCUGUUCGAGCGUCAUUACGCCCCUCAAGUCCCCUGUGGACUUGGUGUUGGGGAUCGGCGAGGCUGGUUUUCCAGCACAGCCGUCCCUUAAAUUAAUUGGCGGUCUCGCCGUGGCCCUCCUCUGCGCAGUAGUAAAACACUCGCAACAGGAGCCCGGCGCGGUCCACUGCCGUAAAACCCCCCAACUUUUUAUAGUUGACCUCGAAUCAGGUAGGACUACCCGCUGAACUUAAGCAUAUCAAUAAGCGGGGA
Molecule: unclassified non-coding RNA, 357 nt
Filed under: soil metagenome
Description: partial contains 5.8S ribosomal RNA, internal transcribed spacer 2, and large subunit ribosomal RNA
Rfam family: 5.8S ribosomal RNA (bases 1-120)
Source: RNAcentral